Molecule: long non-coding RNA, 624 nt
Organism: Prionailurus viverrinus (fishing cat)
Lineage: Eukaryota; Metazoa; Chordata; Mammalia; Carnivora; Felidae
Exons: 3
Source: RefSeq, a predicted model, not a curated record
UCCCACUGGCCAACUGCCCCCUGCUCUCAGACUCAAACUGCCACCCAAGAGUGGGCACAAGUCUACAGUGGGCGAUGUCUUGGUAGGGGGCGUUCUGAGUGGGCAAGUGGAGAGCAGCGGGCAGGGGGUGCACAGGACAGAUGGAGCCUGCUGAGUCCCUUUGUGGGACCUCCUUACCUACUCUGGGAUGAGCACAAGAUCAUACCACAUCAAACCCAACUGCUAUGCUAUCGUGGAAGAGACUUACUGAUUUGUCCAGAGGCUUUGUAUUUAAUGGGGGAAGACUGUGUGAGGGAGAUAAAGGUGAGAAAUUUCUCCUCGUCCAGCAUCCCUGGCUACAGCUGUGGAGCCUCCAGCAUUCCAUCCUCUUUCCAGAUUUUCCAGGCUCAGAAAGAGGAGAAACCUGCUAAGGAGACACAGCUGGGGCACGGCAGAGUUGGGAUUUGAACAGUGGAGGCAUAGGACACACAGUCGUGAGCAUGACGAGGCCCCGCCUCGGGAACUGGACACUCUCAGCGGGCGGGGAGAGGCAGGCAAUGAACAAGGAGGUUCACUCUGCACUCUGUCAGGUGGCCUCUGAGAAAGAACAGUAGGUGGAAGGUGGCAUAUAGGGCCUGCAAAGCA